This 77-nucleotide transfer RNA is filed under the name Alphaproteobacteria bacterium. RNAcentral describes it as "tRNA-Val". It matches the Rfam family "tRNA". Rfam says of the family: Transfer RNA (tRNA) molecules are approximately 80 nucleotides in length. Their secondary structure includes four short double-helical elements and three loops (D, anti-codon, and T loops). RNAcentral also lists the same sequence under 1 other name. Lineage: Bacteria; Pseudomonadati; Pseudomonadota; Alphaproteobacteria. The record is from RNAcentral.
GGGUGUGUAGCUCAGGUGGUUAGAGCGUUACGUUGACAUCGUAAAGGUCGCUGGUUCGAGUCCAAUCACACCCACCA